This is a non-coding RNA of Heligmosomoides polygyrus, 75 nucleotides long. The record is from Rfam. NCBI's taxonomy places the organism in Eukaryota, Metazoa, Nematoda, Chromadorea, Rhabditida, Heligmosomidae.
GCGUCGGUCGUUUAAUGGCGUAGAGCAUUCCCGCUCGGCCAGCAGCAGAUGCGGGUUCGAGUCCCGUCUGGCGCU